Molecule: transfer RNA, 64 nt
Filed under: Vibrio crassostreae
Lineage: Bacteria; Pseudomonadati; Pseudomonadota; Gammaproteobacteria; Vibrionales; Vibrionaceae
Also listed under: 3 other names
Description: tRNA-Asp
Rfam family: tRNA
About the family: Transfer RNA (tRNA) molecules are approximately 80 nucleotides in length. Their secondary structure includes four short double-helical elements and three loops (D, anti-codon, and T loops).
Source: RNAcentral
GGUAGUUCAGUUGGUUAGAAUACCGGCCUGUCACGCCGGGGGUCGCGGGUUCGAGUCCCGUCCA